Molecule: long non-coding RNA, 169 nt
Organism: Ostrinia nubilalis (European corn borer)
Lineage: Eukaryota; Metazoa; Arthropoda; Insecta; Lepidoptera; Crambidae
Exons: 4
Source: RefSeq, a predicted model, not a curated record
GGGUCGAUACAGAGCACAGCCUCUACAGUCUUAUGAUAACAAUUACAGUGGACUGAAUUACAAUCCUUAUUUGACAAGUAAAGUGAGAGAUGAUGAUCGAGAUGACAGAUAUGAUGACCGAGAUGAUGACCAGGAUCAAGAUUAUUAAACAAUAAACACUCGACAGUGC